RNAcentral lists this small RNA (29 nucleotides) under Bombyx mori (domestic silkworm). Its description in RNAcentral is "ovarian small RNA-6973". Lineage: Eukaryota; Metazoa; Arthropoda; Insecta; Lepidoptera; Bombycidae. The record is from RNAcentral.
UCAGCAAGUUUGACUCGCCUAGUGGAGGG